RNAcentral lists this ribosomal RNA (251 nucleotides) under uncultured bacterium. RNAcentral's name for it is "partial 16S ribosomal RNA". It matches the Rfam family "Bacterial small subunit ribosomal RNA", at positions 524 to 776 of the family's 1533-position model. The record is from RNAcentral.
UACGUAGGGUGCAAGCGUUGUCCGGAAUUAUUGGGCGUAAAGAGCUCGUAGGCGGUUUGUCGCGUCUGCUGUGAAACUCGGGGCUUAACCCCGGCCUGCAGUGGGUACGGGCAGACUAGAGUGCGGUAGGGGAGACUGGAAUUCCUGGUGUAGCGGUGAAAUGCGCAGAUAUCAGGAGGAACACCGGUGGCGAAGGCGGGUCUCUGGGCCGAUACUGACGCUGAGGAGCGAAAGCGUGGGGAGCGAACAGG